AUGAUGUCUCAAAGAAUACAAUAUACACAUACGUCACAGGUUCAAGAGAUAUCCUACCAGCAGAGUCCAGACUCUAUGAUGAAAUUCCCCAGCAAAAGGUAAGCUGAUGCUACUCAUAGACACCCUCACCCCACCACCAGGACAUAGUCAGGGCAACCAUUGCUUUCUGCUUGCUGUUGCCUAGAAAGUCCCACCAGGAAACACAAUGUCAGGGGAAUGAUGCCAUGAGUCUCUUCAUGAAGACAGAUAUGUAGUCAAUUGUCACUUCAUGGUUUCAGGCCAAGCUUCUGCAUGGAGGGGCACGGGUUAGAUGUCAGUGACUCAUGACUAAGAAUCAUCACUUAGAGGAGCCAAACAAGGAAGCCCCUUGUAUGAGGUGAGGGCUGUUAUGGAGCCACUGACAUGGUAAACCAGUUGCUAAAGUGGCUCCAAGAGCACAAACUGACAGAAGGACACCCUCCCUGGAUUAUAUUACCUGAUCUAAGAGCAGGCACACCUUGCUUUCUUCAGACUCUUUGUCACUCUCUCUCACACCCCUCUCUCCUACUUGCCUUUUACCUGCCUGCUGGUCCCUCACCUGUGUUCUGAAUCAUCUUCAUCUGUGCUUCCACCAGCCUCCUUCCCUGAAGUCUGCAUGAAGGGAAGGGGAAAACUGAGGUCCUCCUGGUCAGUCUGGUUCUGUGCUUGAACUGACAAGUGUUCUGGACCCAUAAAGCCCAUGGAAAGCUAAAGUCCUGACUGAGCAAGACUCAGUCUGAAGCAUGAAGACCCUUCCUCUUAGCUCCUGAGGUUUUUUGCCCCAAAAUUCUGCCUAACUGCUACCCACUCCCCCUCACGCCCUCCUGAUGUUGAUCCUCUCCAAAGUUGAAUGGAACUAGAGUUGAGGGCAGGAGAGGAAGCCAUUCAAUAAAAGUGGGACCAGGGAGGGGUGAUGGCAGGGAAGGAAUUAGGGAGGGAGACUCCUAAGGUUUGGCCUCUGUACCCUCUCUGAGGGGAAGAUGGAUGUUUUUCAGGUGCUUCCUUCCAAUGAAGGGCCAAUGAACACGAUUUUUCCACAGUGCAGAACUCUGACAAGAUGGGGAAAACCAUCAUACAGGAGUGCAAACCUCCCAGGACUUCAGGCUAUGAAAUUGUCGUCUAGGCUGGUGGGCAUCGCUCUCCCUCUGGAAACUGAGUUACAACCACUGAUCGUAGCAGGUGCCCUGGACCUAGACCUUCUCUUCCAGCUCUUACCAGGAGACUGCAAAACACCACAUCCCAACAUGUAAGAAGCAAAGCAAGAAACCUUCUGUUGCUGGGCACAGCUUGUCCCCCGUGGACACAUGGAUGCUUGCUCUUUCUGACUAGCUCCCUUCUGGAUGAAUGAGAAGGCAGGUUUCCUAAUACAGUGCUUCCCAAACUUCUUCACAACACAUCAC
RNAcentral lists this long non-coding RNA (1418 nucleotides) under Castor canadensis (American beaver). RNAcentral's name for it is "lncRNA (ENSCCNG00000028967.1)". Lineage: Eukaryota; Metazoa; Chordata; Mammalia; Rodentia; Castoridae. The record is from RNAcentral.